RNAcentral lists this ribosomal RNA (260 nucleotides) under uncultured Streptococcaceae bacterium. RNAcentral's name for it is "partial 16S ribosomal RNA". It matches the Rfam family "Bacterial small subunit ribosomal RNA", at positions 524 to 784 of the family's 1533-position model. The record is from RNAcentral. Lineage: Bacteria; Bacillati; Bacillota; Bacilli; Lactobacillales; Streptococcaceae.
UACGUAGGUCCCGAGCGUUAUCCGGAUUUAUUGGGCGUAAAGCGAGCGCAGGCGGUUAGAUAAGUCUGAAGUUAAAGGCUGUGGCUUAACCAUAGUACGCUUUGGAAACUGUUUAACUUGAGUGCAGAAGGGGAGAGUGGAAUUCCAUGUGUAGCGGUGAAAUGCGUAGAUAUAUGGAGGAACACCGGUGGCGAAAGCGGCUCUCUGGUCUGUAACUGACGCUGAGGCUCGAAAGCGUGGGGAGCAAACAGGAUUAGAUA